CUUCUCUCAGGAUCGCACCUGAAGAGUUUCCAGUACUACUCUACCAGUAUCAGCUAUGGGAGGGAGAGUCAAGCAGAGGUAUACCUGUUCCAUUCCUAGCUUGAGCAGUGGCUAGCGAGUGGGAGGCAAUCUGCUACAAAU
Tachyglossus aculeatus (Australian echidna) is the source of this 141-nucleotide small nucleolar RNA. The record is from RefSeq and is a predicted model, not a curated record. Lineage: Eukaryota; Metazoa; Chordata; Mammalia; Monotremata; Tachyglossidae.